RNAcentral lists this ribosomal RNA (468 nucleotides) under uncultured bacterium. RNAcentral describes it as "partial 16S ribosomal RNA". It matches the Rfam family "Bacterial small subunit ribosomal RNA", at positions 28 to 507 of the family's 1533-position model. The record is from RNAcentral.
GACGAACGCUGGCGGCGUGCUUAACACAUGCAAGUCGAACGGAAAGGCCCUGCUUUUGUGGGGUGCUCGAGUGGCGAACGGGUGAGUAACACGUGAGUAACCUGCCCUUGACUUUGGGAUAACUUCAGGAAACUGGGGCUAAUACCGGAUAGGAGCUCCUGCUGCAUGGUGGGGGUUGGAAAGUUUCGGCGGUUGGGGGUGGACUCGCGGCUUAUCAGCUUGUUGGUGGGGUAGUGGCUUACCAAGGCUUUGACGGGUAGCCGGCCUGAGAGGGUGACCGGCGACAUUGGGACUGAGAUACGGCCCAGACGCCUACGGGAGGCAGCAGGGGGGAAUAUUGCACAAUGGGCGGAAGCCUGAUGCAGCAACGCCGCGGGCGGGAUGACGGCCUGCGGGUUGUAAACCGCUUUCGCCUGUGACGAAGCGUGAGUGACGGUAAUGGGUAAAGAAGCACCGGCUAACUACGUG